This 537-nucleotide ribosomal RNA is filed under the name uncultured bacterium. Its description in RNAcentral is "bacterial SSU rRNA". It matches the Rfam family "Bacterial small subunit ribosomal RNA", at positions 777 to 1304 of the family's 1533-position model. The record is from RNAcentral.
AAUAGAUACCCAGGUAGUCCACGCCGUAAACGAUGUCGACUAGCCGUUGGGGACCUUCGUGUCCUUGGUGGCGUAGCUAACGCGCUAAGUCGACCGCCUGGGGGAGUACGGUCGCAAGAUUAAAAACUCAAAAUGAAAUUGACGGGGGGCCCCGGCACAAGCGGUGGAGCAUGUGGUUUAAUUCGACGCAACGCGAAGAACCUUACCAGGUCUUGACAUCCAGAGAACUUUCCAGAGAUGGAUUGGUGCCUUCGGGAACUCUGAGACAGGUGCUGCAUGGCUGUCGUCAGCUCGUGUCGUGAGAUGUUGGGUUAAGUCCCGUAACGAGCGCAACCCUUAUCCUUAUUUGCCAGCACGUCAUGGUGGGAACUUUAAGGAGACUGCCGGUGACAAACCGGAGGAAGGUGGGGAUGACGUCAAGUCAUCAUGGCCCCUUACGACCUGGGCUACACACGUGCUACAAUGGCGCGUACAGAGGGCUGCAACCUCGCGAGAGUGAGCUAAUCCAGAAAAACGCGUCGUAGUCCGGAUUGGAGU